GGCCGCCUGGCGAAAUGGCAUCGCGUCUGACUACGAAGGGAUUCAAAAUUCCUGGUUAUCAGGAGAUUGCAGGUUCGACCCCUGCGGUGGUCA
Transfer RNA from Hydnomerulius pinastri MD-312, 93 nucleotides. It matches the Rfam family "tRNA". From Rfam's summary of the family: Transfer RNA (tRNA) molecules are approximately 80 nucleotides in length. Their secondary structure includes four short double-helical elements and three loops (D, anti-codon, and T loops). NCBI's taxonomy places the organism in Eukaryota, Fungi, Basidiomycota, Agaricomycetes, Boletales. The record is from Rfam.